RNAcentral lists this unclassified non-coding RNA (147 nucleotides) under soil metagenome. RNAcentral's name for it is "partial internal transcribed spacer 1". The record is from RNAcentral.
CCGAGUUUACAACUCCCAAACCCCUGUGAACAUACCUAUACGUUGCCUCGGCGGAUCAGCCCGCGCCCCGUAAAACGGGACGGCCCGCCGCAGGAUCCACAAACUCUGUUUUUAUUGUAACUUCUGAGUAACAAAACAAAUAAAUCA